Molecule: transfer RNA, 173 nt
Filed under: Moesziomyces antarcticus
Lineage: Eukaryota; Fungi; Basidiomycota; Ustilaginomycetes; Ustilaginales; Ustilaginaceae
Description: Pseudozyma antarctica tRNA
Rfam family: tRNA
About the family: Transfer RNA (tRNA) molecules are approximately 80 nucleotides in length. Their secondary structure includes four short double-helical elements and three loops (D, anti-codon, and T loops).
Source: Rfam by way of RNAcentral
GGCUCCAUAGCUCAGUUGGUUAGAGCGUAGCACUGUUACUCCCGUAAGGUCACAGGCACACCAGCACCGAGCUGGCUGUAGCCUCUGUGAUCACACACAUCCUCAUCCCGCCUUGCCCGAAGCAAGGCGAGGGAGUGAUGCUGAGGUCGGCGGUUCGAGCCCGCCUGGGGUCG